This 432-nucleotide ribosomal RNA is filed under the name uncultured bacterium. RNAcentral describes it as "bacterial SSU rRNA". It matches the Rfam family "Bacterial small subunit ribosomal RNA", at positions 338 to 787 of the family's 1533-position model. The record is from RNAcentral.
CCUACGGGUGGCAGCAGUGGGGAAUAUUGCACAAUGGGGGAAACCCUGAUGCAGCGACGCCGCGUGAGUGAAGAAGUAUUUCGGUAUGUAAAGCUCUAUCAGCAGGGAAGAUAAUGACGGUACCUGACUAAGAAGCCCCGGCUAACUACGUGCCAGCAGCCGCGGUAAUACGUAGGGGGCAAGCGUUAUCCGGAUUUACUGGGUGUAAAGGGUGCGUAGGUGGCAGGGCAAGUCAGAUGUGAAAGCCCGGGGCUCAACCCCGGUACUGCAUUUGAAACUGUCCAGCUGGAGUGCAGGAGAGGUAAGCGGAAUUCCUAGUGUAGCGGUGAAAUGCGUAGAUAUUAGGAGGAACACCAGUGGCGAAGGCGGCUUACUGGACUGUAACUGACACUGAGGCACGAAAGCGUGGGGAGCAAACAGGAUUAGAUACCC